This is a long non-coding RNA of Amphiprion ocellaris (clown anemonefish), 3292 nucleotides long. RefSeq lists it as uncharacterized. The record is from RefSeq and is a predicted model, not a curated record. NCBI's taxonomy places the organism in Eukaryota, Metazoa, Chordata, Actinopteri, Pomacentridae. The transcript has 2 exons.
UACAAAAAAUAAAACUGAUGCAUUUUUGCAACAGUGGGUUUUACAGGGUUAAAUAACUGUACAAGAGUUAGGAAAUAUAUUUUUUCAAAAGAAAAAAUGUUAAACAAAAAACAUUUUUCUCCUGAUUAAGUUAUUGACGGUGAUUCAAUGUUACAUAUAUUAACAGCAUCAAACAGUUUUAGAGUUUACAGAUUUUUACCGUCAUGGUUUGACAAUUUUUCCACCGUUUUUUUUAAAAAUUUUUUUUAACAAUGUAUCGUUUGAGCGUGACGGUAUUUAGUGCUUUGUGCUUUUCAUCGCCCAAUAAAAGUGACUCAAUACCGCCUCCUCCUGGCCGGGCAGACAAGCUGCACAAGGAGCACAGUGCUGCUCUGCGUUCACCUGUCAUAUCAGCGCAACGGUGUGUUCGCGCAUGCGCAGUCAGCUUCCCCAUAUAAAAUCAUUUACGUCAAAAAGCAGAUCGCUCCGCCGCCAUCUUAUGCUACUGUGCUAUGCUAAUGCUAUGCUAAUGCUCUCCGUAGAACCAGAGAAUUGAUGCUUCGUGCUCAAGCUAGCUGGCGGGCUAACCGGCAGGGUGAGAGGUUAAAACUAUUCUCACGUCUUUGUUUUGAGGAGAAAACGACGGCAGAACAACACCUGAGCUACCGGAGCUUCAGCAACGGAACGGACAGAAAAUAGUUUGUGUUUUUCAAAGCGAAUGGGACAAAAUGAAGGAUGUGCUACACUGAACUGGCAACACUGACCAGGCCUGGAAUAAUGCUGGAUAUUAUGAUUUGAGCAGCUUGCCCUGUGCCAGAGCCAAAUGAAAUUGAAUGUUCAUCAAACCGGGGAAAUGACAUUGAACUGCUGCACCUGCUAGCCAGCUAGGAUGCUAAUCUAGCCUCCCACUUGGACGUCAUCUUCAAAUAAAACUCAGCUGUCCCGUUUACCUUCCUGGACGGAGCCAUGCUGUUGUUGUCUGUUCUGCCUGCAGGAGGCGCUGCUUCAGGGACCGAGUGGAUCUGAGCGUCUGCACCUGAAACGGAACAAAACUUGGAGGCUCAAUCUGUAGAAAACCAACCAAACAUGAACAAACUUCCCCCUGGACAACUUCAGAAUCAGCUGAUUAUUUAGCUGCAGUAAUUUUAGGAGGCUCUUCAUCAAACAAACCAGAUUUUGUGUCUAUUUUUAUUUCACACGGUUGUGGUGAAACAAUACAAACAAUUUCUCUUUUAGCAUAUUAUCAUCCUUUAUGUAAUUUUUUUUCUGUCGCUAUACCAGUAAUCUGGGCACUUUCUGCUGCAUUUACAGAAACAUUUUACCCCUUAACUUGUCUGUUUUCAGGUUCUCUGUAAUAUCUUUUUAGUUUUUGUGUCAUGUUGUGCGUUGUAACUAUGGCAACCGCUCCAUAAAACCUCACUUCAUCUGUUGCUCACCGUUCUCUCGAUAGUGCCGCUGCAGCUUUUCAUCCAGUAUUUUACAGAUGCCGUCUCCAAAGUUCUGCAGGAUCUUUGCCUCUUUGGCGUUUCGCAGUGGCAGCGGAUAUUUAUUCAAAGAGUUGAUGGCCUGCAAAAAGACAGAAACACACAAAUAAAGGUAAAUAAUCAGCUUUUCUGGCGACUUCUUACAUAUUUUUCCUUUUCUGAUUGUAUUUUAAAAACAAAGACAAAUUUUAACUAUUUUCUACAGUUUUGAGUCAUUUUGUCAAUGUUGGAGUCUUUUUAAACAAAUUUAAAGUCAUUUUAGACGAGCUUCAAAAAGUUCUGGAUCAUUUUUGAGUCAGUUUGGAUGAUUUUUCACUAAUCUUCGUAAAUUUUGGAGUCAUUUUGGCAGUUUUGCAUCUACUCCAGGUGUCACAGUCUACAGACUAAAUCUGAUUUUGUUAAUUUUCUGCAUAACCAACUGGGCAUCAGUAUUAUGGGAUGUAUCGUAGUUUGAACAGUAAAACUGCAGCAGUUUAAUGUCUAUGACAUAGAGUCAUAGAAACUAGUGUUUCUGUCCUGUAGAAAUUUUAAUUUUAGGACUAAUUUUCAACAUUUUUGAAUCAUUUUUGCGGAAUUUUAAGGCAUUUUGGACACGGAUGUGUUUCUGUUUUCUGACAAUUCCCCAGAGAAAACUUUAGACAGUGCAUUGUGGGUAAACUUUCCAGGCUCAUAUCAGCAUGUGUGAUAGGUGGUUGGUCAGAACAAGUUCUAGACAAUGAAAGGAGCAUUUUUACACACAGAAGAUACCAGAAUCAUCUAAUAGACAUGAUUCACUUUCUCUGGUUUUGAGUCACUUUAGAGACGUUUUUGUCUUUUUAGACCAGAAUUGGGUCAUUUUGGACACAUUUAGUUGAGGGAAAACUUCUAAUAAUUUUCCAAUAUGUUUAUUUUCUUGAAGACUCCUCUUCACUUGAGUCAUUUUAAAGAACUUUUUGAUAAUUUCGGACACAUUUUUAAUCGGGCUGUCAAAAUUAAUGCAUAUUAAUCCAUCAUCAUGAUUAAUCUGAUAAAAAGUUAACGCAGUGUAACUAGUGGCACCUGGUGGUACUCGGCUGUCUGCCUCUGAUUGGGGCAGGCAAUGAUAAAAUUAAGUAGGCAGGUGCUGAUGAUUGUCUGUGCGAGGCCAGAGAGACGCGAGGCGUCACCGGUGAUUUGUGGUAAGAUGCCCGUUAGUUUAUCUUAUAGAGGUAGUUUCUCUACAAACCUUUAGAUGUGCCUUUUCUAAUGGUGUUUUUGAAUGUUGCAGUGGGACCACACAGUUUUAUGAGGUGAGGGAAUUCCUACUGCGUGCUUUUAAAGGAUGUUUAUUAAAAGGUGUUUUUAUUCUGCUUUGGAUAUGUUUAUUUUUCAUUUAAUCAAAUUGCAUUUUUAUUGUUUGUGCUUUACAGUGACGGUCCAUCUUAGUUGCACUGUCUCUUGCUGUCCUUUUUUGGGUUUUGUUUGUAGGUCUUAUUAAUUUGAGUUCAUCCACUCAGCCUUGCAGGACCCAUGGAUGAACAGACCUGGGUGCAUCAUGUGACAGCGGACUAACUCUAUUUUAAUUGUUUUGGUUUGUGUUAUUCACUUCCCUAUUUAGAGCCGCUGCAAGUAAUAAUCAGCCUUGAUCUCGGUAACUUUGAGACCAGAUGCAAGUGUGAAUUGAAUGUAGUGCUGUUUGAUAUGCAGUGGUAUUUUCAGAGUGAAGUGAUUUUUAUUUUUUACCUUAGGUUCAUCGGGCUCAUGUGUAAUCAGUCUCAAUGGUAUCGAUUAGACCCUGUUCAGAUAAAUGGGAUUGUGACUUUAUGAUCUUUUGUACUGUCAACAAUAAAUAUUAAUAUUAAUCAUCUAUA